GCUCCAGUGGCGCAAUCGGUUAGCGCGCGGUACUUAUAAUGCCGAGGUUGUAAGUUCGAGUCUCACCUGGAACA
RNAcentral lists this transfer RNA (74 nucleotides) under Alosa alosa (allis shad). RNAcentral describes it as "tRNA-Ile". It matches the Rfam family "tRNA". From Rfam's summary of the family: Transfer RNA (tRNA) molecules are approximately 80 nucleotides in length. Their secondary structure includes four short double-helical elements and three loops (D, anti-codon, and T loops). Further hydrogen bonds mediate the characteristic L-shaped molecular structure. tRNAs have two regions of fundamental functional importance: the anti-codon, which is responsible for specific mRNA codon recognition, and the 3' end, to which the tRNAs corresponding amino acid is attached (by aminoacyl-tRNA synthetases). tRNAs cope with the degeneracy of the genetic code in two manners: having more than one tRNA (with a specific anti-codon) for a particular amino acid; and 'wobble' base-pairing, i.e. permitting non-standard base-pairing at the 3rd anti-codon position. Lineage: Eukaryota; Metazoa; Chordata; Actinopteri; Clupeiformes; Clupeidae. The record is from RNAcentral.